Natronomonas moolapensis 8.8.11 is the source of this 76-nucleotide transfer RNA. It matches the Rfam family "tRNA". From Rfam's summary of the family: Transfer RNA (tRNA) molecules are approximately 80 nucleotides in length. Their secondary structure includes four short double-helical elements and three loops (D, anti-codon, and T loops). Further hydrogen bonds mediate the characteristic L-shaped molecular structure. tRNAs have two regions of fundamental functional importance: the anti-codon, which is responsible for specific mRNA codon recognition, and the 3' end, to which the tRNAs corresponding amino acid is attached (by aminoacyl-tRNA synthetases). tRNAs cope with the degeneracy of the genetic code in two manners: having more than one tRNA (with a specific anti-codon) for a particular amino acid; and 'wobble' base-pairing, i.e. permitting non-standard base-pairing at the 3rd anti-codon position. Lineage: Archaea; Methanobacteriati; Methanobacteriota; Halobacteria; Halobacteriales; Natronomonadaceae. The record is from Rfam.
GCCAAGGUGGCAGAGUCUGGCCUUACGCGGUUGCCUGCAGAGCAGCUAUACGCCGGUUCAAAUCCGGCCCUUGGCU